This is a microRNA precursor of Dipodomys ordii (Ord's kangaroo rat), 87 nucleotides long. The record is from Ensembl. Lineage: Eukaryota; Metazoa; Chordata; Mammalia; Rodentia; Heteromyidae.
CCCCUUAGAGGAUGACUGAUUUCUUUUGGUGUUCAGAGUCAAUAGAAUUUUCUAGCACCAUCUGAAAUCGGUUAUAAUGAUUGGGGA